This 879-nucleotide long non-coding RNA is filed under the name Apteryx haastii (Great spotted kiwi). RNAcentral describes it as "lncRNA (ENSAHAG00000010069.1)". Lineage: Eukaryota; Metazoa; Chordata; Aves; Apterygiformes; Apterygidae. The record is from RNAcentral.
GCAACUGGGCCGACCUGGAGCUGCUCUUCAACGCCUGCUUCAGCAACCUUGCCCACGUGGUUGACCAGAUCGCGUGGCAGAGGGCCCUGGCGUGUGAGUAGCACCCAGCCUGGCGUCACCUCCCAUCUAGCAGGGCUGAGAACUGACCUGCUCGUGGCUGCACCCGUGCAAGUGGCAGAGAGGCCCCAACAGGCUCUUCCCUGCUCCCCCCAAACAGCUGGUCCCACCUGACCCUCCGGAACAGGGCCUGGAGAAGGGUCCCGCUCCGGGCCAAACCCACCCCCCUGGAGUUGUGCUGCCGCAUGAUGGACACAGCUACCCUUGGGCCCGGCAUCAGGGUCCCCCCCUCCCCUUGCUCUUUCAGCGCCUUCAGGCUCGCGAUGCCUCCUCCGCUCCUGCAGUCCCCAUGGUGGUGCAGUGCUCCAUGGGCUGCCAGGUGGGUCCCAACGGCAGCAUCUAUGACRCUGCCUAUAACGGGCAGGACUUCAUGAGCUACAGCAUGGGCAACAGCAGCCGGGCAUGCAAGCGGGAUGAGGACCUGGCGUGGAGAUUGGCCCAGCAUGGGAGGGAGGAUGUGGAGAGACAAGCCCGGCACACCUACUGCUCGUCUGCCACGUCACCGGCUUCUACCCACAGCCCAUCCACGUCAACUGGCUCCAGGAUGGGCAGGAGGUGCCGCCAGGCCCGGAGCUCAACUCCACGCCGACGCUGCCCAAUGCCGACCUCACCUACCAGCUCCGCAGCGUCCUGGCCGUGGCCCCCCAUGAUGGGCACAGCUACGCCUGCCACAUGCGGCACAGCAGCCUGGGCGGCCGCAGCCUGCUGGUGCCCUGGGUUCCAGAGAGACCCAAAACCUGACACGUCAUGUGGAUCAUCGUC